RNAcentral lists this ribosomal RNA (932 nucleotides) under Acinetobacter oleivorans. Its description in RNAcentral is "bacterial SSU rRNA". It matches the Rfam family "Bacterial small subunit ribosomal RNA", at positions 446 to 1370 of the family's 1533-position model. The record is from RNAcentral. Lineage: Bacteria; Pseudomonadati; Pseudomonadota; Gammaproteobacteria; Moraxellales; Moraxellaceae.
AUAGUCCCUAAAGAAGGAUUAGUGGAUCGUUACUCGCAGAAUUAAGGCACUGGGCUAAACUCUGUGCCAGCAGCCCGCGGGUAAUACAGAGGGUGCAAGCGUUAAUCGGAUUUACUGGGCGUAAAAGCGCGCGUAGGCGGCUAAUUAAGUCAAAAUGUGAAAUCCCCGAGCUUAACUUGGGAAUUGCAUUCGAUACUGGUUAGCUAGAGUGUGGGAGAGGAUGGUAGAAUUCCAGGUGUAGCGGUGAAAUGCGUAGAGAUCUGGAGGAAUACCGAUGGCGAAGGCAGCCAUCUGGCCUAACACUGACGCUGAGGUGCGAAAGCAUGGGGAGCAAACAGGAUUAGAUACCCUGGUAGUCCAUGCCGUAAACGAUGUCUACUAGCCGUUGGGGCCUUUGAGGCUUUAGUGGCGCAGCUAACGCGAUAAGUAGACCGCCUGGGGAGUACGGUCGCAAGACUAAAACUCAAAUGAAUUGACGGGGGCCCGCACAAGCGGUGGAGCAUGUGGUUUAAUUCGAUGCAACGCGAAGAACCUUACCUGGCCUUGACAUAGUAAGAACUUUCCAGAGAUGGAUUGGUGCCUUCGGGAACUUACAUACAGGUGCUGCAUGGCUGUCGUCAGCUCGUGUCGUGAGAUGUUGGGUUAAGUCCCGCAACGAGCGCAACCCUUUUCCUUAUUUGCCAGCGAGUAAUGUCGGGAACUUUAAGGAUACUGCCAGUGACAAACUGGAGGAAGGCGGGGACGACGUCAAGUCAUCAUGGCCCUUACGGCCAGGGCUACACACGUGCUACAAUGGUCGGUACAAAGGGUUGCUACCUAGCGAUAGGAUGCUAAUCUCAAAAAGCCGAUCGUAGUCCGGAUUGGAGUCUGCAACUCGACUCCAUGAAGUCGGAAUCGCUAGUAAUCGCGGAACAGAGAUGUGCCGCAAUUCG